Molecule: ribosomal RNA, 253 nt
Filed under: uncultured bacterium
Lineage: Bacteria
Description: partial 16S ribosomal RNA
Rfam family: Bacterial small subunit ribosomal RNA
Source: RNAcentral
UACGGGGGGAGCAAGCGUUGUUCGGAAUUAUUGGGCGUAAAGCGCUUGUAGGCGGCUUGUUAAGUUCCGCGUGAAAUCCCCAGGCUUAACCUGGGAACUGCAUCCGAUACUGGAUGGCUAGAGGUUAUUCGAGGAAAGUGGAAUUCCUGGUGUAGUAGUGAAAUGCGUAGAUAUCAGGAGGAACACCCGUGGCGAAGGCGGCUUUCUAGGAUAUACCUGACACUGAGAAGCGACAGCUAGGGGAGCAAACAGG